UACGAAGGGGGCUAGCGUUGUUCGGAAUUACUGGGCGUAAAGCGCGCGCAGGCGGUCUUCCAAGUCAGUGGUGAAAGCCUGGAGCUCAACUUCAGAACUGCCAUUGAAACUGUGAGACUUGAGUACGAGAGAGGUGAGUGGAAUUCCCAGUGUAGAGGUGAAAUUCGUAGAUAUUGGGAAGAACACCGGUGGCGAAGGCGGCUCACUGGCCCGUUUCUGACGCUCAUGCACGACAGCGUGGGGAUCAAACAGG
Molecule: ribosomal RNA, 253 nt
Filed under: uncultured bacterium
Lineage: Bacteria
Description: partial 16S ribosomal RNA
Rfam family: Bacterial small subunit ribosomal RNA
Source: RNAcentral